UCUCGGGCAUCCGUCUUUGCGGUUCUUGGAAAAAGUUUUUCCGUUAGCAUCUUUUUCCUCCGGGGUCACCGGAGCUCGGCAGGCUCGCCUCGGGUCCCUCCUCAGUCAUCUCGUUCAGCAUUCUCUCGGUCCUCGUGAGGACUUUCUCUCCCUGUCAUGUCCCCUCGUGUCACGGGUGUCUGGGGGUAUUUGGUCCGGAGCUGCUCUGCCCUGGCGCCCAGCCCGGUUGUAGGUGUUUAAGGACAAGUCCCGGGCACUUGUAAUUGGAGAUUUGUAAUACGGGCUGUAGUUGGAGUCUAGCUGGUAUUCUUAUGUUGGCAGCAGGUGUCUGGAGCUGUGAAGUUACCCUGCAGCACUUUGACUUUUUUCCUAACUUUCUUUCAGAUUCAGACAGAUUGACCUCAUGGCAGAGUACUGCAUCCCAGAUGAUGGGGGUCCCCCUGAGAAGGAAGUAAAGCCGGGUAGCAGCGGGGAAGGCGAAGCAGGUGGAAGGCUGCCUCCUGAUGCUGUGCUGUGGCCCCCUCACUGACCUGCCAAGAGACCCCGUUUGCUUCUCUGGUGAGCCCCAGCAAAUAUUACCGGAGUCCGUGACGAAGCCUCGACCUCGUCCACGUGUCGGUGCGGUCCUGGUAUCCUUUAGGCGUGGCCGAGGAGUCGCGGCAAGUCGGGGGCUUUGGAAGGAGCGGCGAGGGCGCGCUCAACUUUCAGCGACGCUACAUCGCCUGCUCUCCGUUUAUCCUAGGCGUACCCUGCGACGACGGCAUCCGCCUAGGAGCGUGGCUGAAGCGUGCGGCCGGAGGACCCGGGAGUUCCUAAGAGAUGGUGAUGAUACUUGUCUGAGACAACAGCCCGGUGAGAGAAGAACUUCCCAGACAGCGAGGUGGCUUUGUUUGGCUCCUGACCGGCCUCUCGCCGUGACUCACAUCUUCAGCCCUCUGAGAGAUAAGUGGAGCCCACAGAGGGGAUCAAAGCAGGGCGAUGCAGAUAGAUUGACCUCCUGGCAGAACACCUGUCCCAGAUGAGGGGGUCCCCCUGAGAAGGAAGUAAAGCCGGAUAGCAGCGGGGAAGGCGAAGCAGGUGGAAGGUGAGCCUCGGUUGGUGGAGAGAAGCAGUUGUUCUUGCUGGGGUCUCAGUUUCUGCUAUAACUUUAAUCCCUUGGGUUUUUUUUAUUUUAGGUGGUCUACUUGCAAGAUAUCCCAGCCCAGGAUGCUGGAGGACAGGUGGGUGCAAGCUCUGUGUGUGUUUUGGUGUUUCAGUCCCUGGUUUGCUGCUAAUCUUUAGUUCUUGAAGGUAGAAUGAAAGAACCACAUCACAAAUCCCACCUUGUGGAUCCUGACACACAUUGGUGUCACGGACAGGAUUCUGAGAGACAGAAGGGGUUGCAGGUUUAUCGUGCAGUCAGUAUCAGGGGAAAGACGUUUCGCCUCAGCCGCCCCUAGCCUGCCACGCUGGUGAGCAGUGUCUAGAAAGCAAGGGAGGUGACUCGAAUUUGUUAAAAACAGCACAUGCCUCAGGGCAAAGCACCCCACACUCGUUUGAGGGCUCUGUCUUCAGAACUUUACAGGGGAUCUUUGAGUAUGAUAAGUGGGACUGAGUGGUUUUUCUGUUUAAAGUCCCUGGUUUGCUGCUAAUCUUUAGUUCUCUAAGACAGAAGGAAAGAACCACAUCACAAAUCCCACCUUGUGGAUCCUGACACGAAUCAGUGUCACGGACAGGAUUCUGAGAGACAGAAGGGGUUGCAGGUUUAUCGUGCAGUCAUUAUCAGGGGAAAGACGUUUCGCCUCAGCCGCCCCUAGCCUGCCACGUCGGUGAGCAGUGUCUAGAAAGCAAGGGAGGUGACUCGAAUUUGUUAAAAACAGCACAUGCCUCAGGGCAAAGCACCCCACACUCGUUUGAGGGCUCUGUCUUCAGAACUUUACAGGGGAUCUUUGAGUAUGAUAAGUGGGACUGAGAGGUUUUUCUGUUUAAAGUCCCUGGUUUGCUGCUAAUCUUUAGUUCUCUAAGAUAGAAGGAAAGAACCACAUCACAAAUCCCACCUUGUGGAUCCUGACACGAAUCGGUGUCACGGACAGGAUUCUGAGAGACAGAAGGGGUUGCAGGUUUAUCGUGCAGUCAUUAUCAGGGGAAAGACGUUUCGCCUCAGCCGCCCCUAGCCUGCCACGCUGGUGAGCAGUGUCUAGAAAGCAAGGGAGGUGACUCGAAUUUUUUAAAAACAGCACAUGCCUCAGGGCAAAGCACCCCACACUCGUUUGAGGGCUCUGUCUUCAGAACUUUACAGGGGAUCUUUGAGUACGAGAGGUGGGACUGAGUGGUUUUUCUUCUGUUUCAGUCCCUGGUUGGCUGACAAGCUUUUGUAGUCCAAGAUGGAAUAAAGGAACCACAUUGGGAAUUCCA
Molecule: long non-coding RNA, 2394 nt
Filed under: Cyanistes caeruleus (blue tit)
Lineage: Eukaryota; Metazoa; Chordata; Aves; Passeriformes; Paridae
Description: lncRNA (ENSCCEG00000008157.1)
Source: RNAcentral